Acanthosepion pharaonis is the source of this 120-nucleotide non-coding RNA. Lineage: Eukaryota; Metazoa; Mollusca; Cephalopoda; Sepiida; Sepiidae. The record is from the annotation of a GenBank genome assembly.
UUACGGCCACAUCACAUUGAAACAUCACCGGUUCUUCCUGUUCGAUCACUGAAUUUAAGCAACUUGGAGCCUGGUCAGUACCUAAAUGGGUGACCACUUGGGAAUAUCAGGUGCUGAAGG